AACGAACGCUGGCGGCAGGCUUAACACAUGCAAGUCGAACGCCCCGCAAGGGGAGUGGCAGACGGGUGAGUAACGCGUGGGAACGUGCCCUAAGGUACGGAACAACUCCGGGAAACUGGAGCUAAUACCGUAUGUGACCGAGAGGUGAAAGAUUUAUCGCCUUAGGAUCGGCCCGCGUCAGAUUAGCUAGUUGGUGGGGUAAUGGCCUACCAAGGCGACGAUCUGUAGCUGUUCUGAGAGGAUGAUCAGCCACACUGGGACUGAGACACGGCCCAGACUCCUACGGGAGGCAGCAGUGGAGAAUAUUGGACAAUGGGCGAAAGCCUGAUCCAGCCAUGCCGCGUGAGUGAUGAAGGCCCUAGGGUUGUAAAGCUCUUUCGGCGGGGACGAUAAUGACGGUACCAGAUGAAUAAGCACCGGCUAACUCCGUGCCAGCCGCCGCGGUAA
This 447-nucleotide ribosomal RNA is filed under the name uncultured bacterium. RNAcentral's name for it is "partial 16S ribosomal RNA". It matches the Rfam family "Bacterial small subunit ribosomal RNA", at positions 29 to 523 of the family's 1533-position model. The record is from RNAcentral.